AGGCAGGAGACGUGUCCGGGGACCAGAUGGAAAUCAGGCUUUCUCCGGAACCCGCAGCCCCUCGGAAUCCCGGGAGCUGCCUUGGCUGCGUGUGGUUCAUCUGCAGUGUACUCAAAGGACCCUGAAGUCUCCACUCAUCUGGGUUCUACCCUCUGGACUGAAGACCCUCACAAUCAGCCUGGGGUUCAGGCCACGGAGCCUCUGUCCUCACAGCCCGAAUCUCCACUGACUCUCUGAACUGUGGCUGGGGCAGCGAGGGGAGAGUUCCCGCUUAGACUUCUGGAUCUGCUCCUUCCGGUCUGUUUCCUUUCUUCCUUUGACGCGCCCCACCCCCACCUCUCUGUGGCUGAGUUUAUGUCUGCCUUGUCACCUGCCCAGGAAGACCAUGUACUUUCUGUUGGACUCCAGAUAGCAUCUGGGACCCACAUGCACGGUGCUGGGCAGGUGGCGCUCAGCUCCAGGGGCUGGGCCAUCUCCAGUGCCUUCAGAAAGCCGUCGUAGGGUGUACGGUCCAGUGUGGACUGUCGUCAUCUUGGGGAGAACAGUCUGACAGGAACCAACUUGGCUGUUGCAAGGACCCACCUGGGAGGCUUGUCCAUGCUGGUCCAAAGUCGCUUUAAUCCUGAGCUUGUUCACCUCCUGCCAAGGUCCGCACCCUGCUGGAUUCCUGGCUGGGCCCUUCAGUGUUGCUGGGAUGGAUUUCUGAGGUUGCGGUGAUGAGGCUGGGUCUUAUCUGAUGAGCCUGUACCUGGUGAAGAGAGGAAGUCUCAUCAUGUCCUCCACCUGAGGACAUGGAGAGGAGGUGACCUCUACAGGACUCUGGGCCUCUAGCUCCACAACUAUGCAGUGUGAGCUGCCCCUGCCAUGUGUCUCGGUGUCUGGUGGUGAUUUGAGGCCUGCAGAUUCUCUCUCUGGCUGCAUGGCAUGCGCCUGUCUCCCGCCCUACACCACCUGGGAGCUGUUCAGCUGUCACUUGCUGUCCACUGCCCCGUGGCGCCCACCAUGCACCCACCUACACUCGAGGGCCCCUGUGGGGACAUCCAAGGCUCUUCCAAGAUGCAGCUUCCUUGUACAUCUGGCUGUCUAAUUCGGGCCGCCCCAGCUUCACUGUGCUCAGUGUGUGCCUCUUAACUCAGUCUGACUUGCCUGCACCUGCAAGGUCCUCCUUCCUGUGCCACAGCCCAAAACUACCUGCCAUGCCUCACCGGCCUCCUCUGUCCCUUCACUCAGGGAUCCCAGGUGUGCUCUACUUGUGGGAAUCAAAACAACAGACAGACAUGUGCCCCCAGCUGGAGCACACUCACACACAUGCACACACACAUGCACACACAGACCAGGAGUGGUGACUGAUAUGCUUAGGUGAAAACUCACCUGUAGCCAGAAUUAGACCAAGAAAGAACAGCGCCAGAGCCCCCAGCAGGGUCUCCAUCUUGGGGCUGCCUCUGUUCUUACUCCCUGCACUGUACACUCGUUUCUGCUGGUUUUGACUUUCACAUGUGAAAAUCUACGAGAUCAAACCAGAGAGAAGAGUGAUCAAAAGACACAGUGAAUAUUCACGUUUUAAAAAAUGUCCACUACAGUCUAAGAACCGGCCACUAAAGCCCCAGAACUCCCCCAUCUUGCCGUAAAGCCUCGCAUCACACUGCCCCAGCUGCCUUCAUCAAUUGAAAACGCUCCCCGGCCGGCCGCAGUCAUUCUGACUCCCGGAGAGUCCAGUGGUCUGACUCUGGGAAGGCCCAGCCCUCGCCGGCGGGACCCACUGAGGGAGUUGGGUGAGGAGCAGCGUCCGCCUGUGCAAGCUGCUUUUGUGUGAAUGGUGCCCGGCAGCAGCAGUCACAGUGGUUCUGAUCACGUCGGGUACAGAGGGCCACAGAGGAGGACUCUGAGCUGCUCAGAAAGUGGCUCGAAUGAUAGUAUGUGUGUGAGAGGGUGGGGUGUGUUUGAGGGGAAUUCAUGGCCUCGUGCCUUUUAUUGUAGUUUGUAAAAUGUAAGCAGUCACUGUCCACAGUGUCCCUCUUCACGUGUUUUGCAUUGGCACAGCGGUUAACUCUGGUUCCUUUUCUUCCAGAGCUGAGGGCUGAAUCCAGGGCCUUUGUGCUGAGCUGCAUCCCCACCCCCUUUACUUCACAUUCUGAGACGGGGUCUCACAAGUGGCCGUGAUCCAGGCAGGACUCAGACUCGCCCUCCUGCCUGGGCUUCCAGAGCUGGGGUUCACCAGCGGGCAUCAGUGCAGCCGCACGGGCUCCUGGGCUUCUGUUGCCUGUUGCCCACGGCAGAAUCAGCCCCCACGUCCCUUAUUCUGGAGCAUCGUGUGGAACACCCAGGGCUGGUUCUGGCGCUGCCUGUGGCCGCGCUUCCAGCUGUGAGGCAGAGUUCCCGAAUUCUCCCACUGAGCAGUGCGCUCACUUACACCCCACUUGCACCCGCCUGUCCCCCAGGGCGCACGGGCUGGGCCACAGUGCUUUUGUUCAGCACUGAUCAAAGCAGGACCUCCGGGAAGGGGGGGACUCCCUGCCCCGCCCCCCACCACGUGCGGCGUCUACCUUUUGUUCAGCCGCUGCCUGCUCCUGGCAGAGUCCAGGCUCACACCAGGGACACAGCUCACCCUUCCCGCCGGCUGAGGCGUUUGGCUCUGCAUCUUCCCUGCGUCUACAGGCGUCCGGAGAGCCCGGUUCACAAAGUGCGAAUGCAAAUAUUUGCCUAUUUUUCUAUUCACUUGCUUCCCCUCCUGCUUUUUGAAAAAUUAAUGUACUCUCUUUCUUUACUGCGGAUGUGAGUCUUUGUUAGAUAGGAGUCUCACAGACGCCACCUCCCAGCUCGGCUUCCACUCUGCUGACGGGAGAUCCGCUGAGAAGUUGUGAUGGGCGCGCAGGCCAGGGCUCGACUUACUGCCCUUGUGGACUGUGGUGCUGUGUCGUUCCACUUCCUGGAGUUUUAGUGUCGAGCCAUCCGCGCGCACAGAGGACUGAAUUAGGAUUCUGAGUUGCAUCCUCUUCCCUUUGUUUCAGGAGCAACUUGACAGGCAGGCCCUUUAUUUCCCCGUAAAUCAUUGAUAAGAGUAUCAGAGGAUCCAGGACUGAUGUCAGUCCCUGGCCACCCGCAGACCUCCGCGGGGUGACACCGGCCCAUUAGCGGCUCUCUUUGUCUAUAAUUAUAUACAGCAAGCAGAAUUCACUUAACA
Cavia porcellus (domestic guinea pig) is the source of this 3181-nucleotide long non-coding RNA. RefSeq lists it as uncharacterized. NCBI's taxonomy places the organism in Eukaryota, Metazoa, Chordata, Mammalia, Rodentia, Caviidae. The record is from RefSeq and is a predicted model, not a curated record. The transcript is spliced from 2 exons.